This 409-nucleotide ribosomal RNA is filed under the name Fusobacteriota bacterium. RNAcentral's name for it is "Fusobacteria bacterium partial 16S ribosomal RNA". It matches the Rfam family "Bacterial small subunit ribosomal RNA", at positions 355 to 776 of the family's 1533-position model. The record is from RNAcentral. Lineage: Bacteria; Fusobacteriati; Fusobacteriota.
UGGGGAAUAUUGCACAAUGGAGGGAACUCUGAUGCAGCAACGCCGCGUGCGGGAUGACGGCCUUCGGGUUGUAAACCGCUUUCAGCCAUGACGAAGCUUUUGUGACGGUAGUGGUAGAAGAAGCACCGGCUAACUACGUGCCAGCAGCCGCGGUGAUACGUAGGGUGCGAGCGUUGUCCGGAAUUAUUGGGCGUAAAGAGCUUGUAGGCGGUUUGUCGCGUCGAUAGUGUAAACACGCAGCUUAACUGUGUGCCUGCUGUCGAUACGGGCUGACUAGAGGAGGGUAGGGGAGAAUGGAAUUCCCGGUGGAGCGGUGGAAUGCGAAGAUAUCGGGAGGAACACCAGUGGCGAAGGCGGUUCUCUGGACCUUUCCUGACGCUGAGAAGCGAAAGCGUGGGUAGCAAACAGG